RNAcentral lists this ribosomal RNA (480 nucleotides) under uncultured bacterium. RNAcentral's name for it is "partial 16S ribosomal RNA". It matches the Rfam family "Bacterial small subunit ribosomal RNA", at positions 28 to 507 of the family's 1533-position model. The record is from RNAcentral.
GAUGAACGCUGGCGGCGUGCCUAACACAUGCAAGUCGAACGGAGAUUACGGACGGAAGUUUUCGGAUGGAAGACUGUAAUUCUUAGUGGCGGACGGGUGAGUAACGCGUGGGCAACCUGCCCUAUACAGGGGGAUAGCAGCUGGAAACGGCUGGUAAGACCGCAUAAGUCGGUUAAAUCGCAUGAUUUGAUCGGGAAAUGAGCAAUCAGGUAUAGGAUGGGCCCGCGUCCGAUUAGCCAGUUGGCAGGGUAAAAGCCUACCAAAGCGACGAUCGGUAGCCGGACUGAGAGGUCGGACGGCCACAUUGGGACUGAGACACGGCACAAACUCCUACGGGAGGCAGCAGUGGGGGAUAUUGCACAAUGGAGGAAACUCUGAUGCAGCGACGCCGCGUGAGUGAAGAAGUAUUUCGGUAUGUAAAGCUCUAUCAGCAGGGAGAUGAUGACGGUACCUGACGAAGAAGCCCCGGCUAACUACGUG